Ruditapes philippinarum (Manila clam) is the source of this 669-nucleotide long non-coding RNA. RefSeq lists it as uncharacterized. The transcript has 3 exons. The record is from RefSeq and is a predicted model, not a curated record. Lineage: Eukaryota; Metazoa; Mollusca; Bivalvia; Venerida; Veneridae.
ACUUAAUUCUUCAGGACAUCAAUGUUAUAUAUAUUAUGUGAUCAAAUAUAGUAUUGUGAUCCGUUUAAUACAUUGGAAAUGAAAACAUUUUAAAGAUGAACCUUGUGCACAUUUUCAAUACCACUUGAUUCAAAACACCAUAAAUGGAUUAAAGACGACACUUUACAAUGCUGCUAUAACAAAUUAUUGACAAAAGAAGAAGGAACGAAAAUGACACAGGUGCCAGAAAAUCGGGUCAAUUUAAUUCGUUUGCAGAUGUUAAUUAUUGAUGGAGGCCAGUCUGUUUUGAGAGAUAUUGUUGACAAGACACUUAUUGCGCAAGGCACAACUCUAAAUGCAUGUUUGAAUCAAGAGAAAACAAAAAUUAUAUAUUUGAAAAGUCAAAGAAUUAUUUCAUCGAAACAAUAUGACAUAUUUUUUCCAACCGGUGGGAAAAUUCCAAAUACGACAGAUAUGGACACCACACUUAUCAUUUGUCUUCUAAGGUCUCUGAAGUGUUUUCGACUGAAUGGCAAAUUUGACUGGAGAGCAAAACCAAAAUCAACCGAUCUAUCAGUUGAGGCAGAUUUAUAUCGGUUAAAAGAUUACCGAAAUGAAAUAAGUCAUAUCAAGACAACAACUGAAAUACAACCAAAUGUUUUUGUCAAUUGGUGGAAUGACAUCGAGCAG